Molecule: non-coding RNA, 201 nt
Organism: Gossypium arboreum
Lineage: Eukaryota; Viridiplantae; Streptophyta; Magnoliopsida; Malvales; Malvaceae
Source: Rfam
UGGCAGGAGAGAGAGCUUCCUUCAGCCCACUCACGGAUGGGAAUAAGGGGGUUGAACUAGCUGCCGACUCAUUCAUUCAAACACUCAGUAGAAAAUAGAUUGGAGAUUUUUACUACUGUGAUUGUGUGAAUGAAGCGGGAGAUAAUUUUGCAUCCCUCUUUCUCCAUGCUUGGACUGAAGGGAGCUCCUUCUUUCUGUUGC